This 460-nucleotide ribosomal RNA is filed under the name uncultured bacterium. RNAcentral describes it as "partial 16S ribosomal RNA". It matches the Rfam family "Bacterial small subunit ribosomal RNA", at positions 338 to 795 of the family's 1533-position model. The record is from RNAcentral.
CCUACGGGCGGCAGCAGUGAGGAAUAUUGGUCAAUGGGCGUAAGCCUGAACCAGCCAAGUCGCGUGAGGGAUGAAGGUUCUAUGGAUCGUAAACCUCUUUUAUAAGGGAGUAAAGUGUGGGACGUGUCCUCUUUUGUAUGUACCUUAUAAAUAAGGAUCGGCUAACUCCGUGCCAGCAGCCGCGGUAAUACGGAGGAUCCGAGCGUUAUCCGGGUUUAUUGGGUUUAAAGGGUGCGUAGGCGGCCUUUUAAGUCAGCGGUGAAAGUGUGUGGCUCAACCAUAGAAUUGCCGGUGAAACUGGGGGGCUUGAGGAUGCUGGAGGCAGGCGGAAUGCGUGGUGUAGCGGUGAAAUGCUUAGAUAUCACGCAGAACCCCGAUUGCGAAGGCAGCCUGCCAAGCCAUGACUGACGCUGAGGCACGAAAGCGUGGGGAUCAAACAGGAUUAGAUACCCUGGUAGUC